Molecule: ribosomal RNA, 497 nt
Filed under: uncultured bacterium
Lineage: Bacteria
Description: partial 16S ribosomal RNA
Rfam family: Bacterial small subunit ribosomal RNA
Source: RNAcentral
GACGAACGCUGGCGGCGUGCCUAAUACAUGCAAGUUGAGCGAUGAAGAUUGGUGCUUGCACCAAUUUGAAGAGCAGCGAACGGGUGAGUAACGCGUGGGGAAUCUGCCUUUGAGCGGGGGACAACAUUUGGAAACGAAUGCUAAUACCGCAUAAUAACUUUAAACAUAAGUUUUAAGUUUGAAAGAUGAAAUUGCAUCACUCAAAGAUGAUCCCGCGUUGUAUUAGCUAGUUGGUGAGGUAAAGGCUCACCAAGGCGAUGAUACAUAGCCGACCUGAGAGGGUGAUCGGCCACAUUGGGACGGAGACACGGCCCACACUCCUACAGGAGGCAGCAGUAGGGAAUCUUCGGCAAUGGACGAAAGUCUGACCGAGCAACGCCGCGUGAGUGAAGAAGGUUGUCGGAUCGUAAAACUCUGUUGGUAGAGAAGAACGUUGGUGAGAGUGGAAAGCUCAUAAAGUGACGGUAACUACCCAGAAAGGGACGGCUAACUACGUG